This is a long non-coding RNA of Eptesicus fuscus (big brown bat), 825 nucleotides long. RefSeq lists it as uncharacterized. Lineage: Eukaryota; Metazoa; Chordata; Mammalia; Chiroptera; Vespertilionidae. The record is from RefSeq and is a predicted model, not a curated record. The transcript is spliced from 3 exons.
CCUCUUUUAGAGACUCAGUCCCACAUCUCUAACCCUUUCCCAUGCCCCCUUCUCUCCCCUCCUCCAGCUUCAUGUAUCCAAAUGUCCUUUGCCUCAGACCCCACAGACAUAUGGCUGACAUCCUGGAUGGAGAACACUGACAUCUUGGGGAUAAUUGUCCAGAACCUUGCCGAGGAGGGCCCAUUUUACAAAACAGGAAACGGAUGUUGAGAUGAAGACUCUUCCCCAGAGUUGUAGGUUCCCAAGAGAAACAGAGUGACCCAUUUGCCUGAGCCAGGUCAAGCAAGAGUGAAUGUCUUGAGAAAUUCGAGCACUUCAUGCCCUUCCAGUACCGCUCAGGUUCCAGGUUAGUUUUCCCCUCUGGUCUCCUUCACUGGGCUCAAAUUCUCAACAACUGGCAGUGGAGGGUUUGAAGAAUGUUGGGUGGAAUGUUGCUGACCCCAGAGUUCCUCCCACUUGAAGGCCUGCGUAGGGUUAUUUGGACUCCUUCCUGCUCUGUACCACAAGUGUUCCCACCCACAGUCCAUGGGAGAGCCUGUGCCUGAGGGACACGGGGCAGCAAAUUCCUCAGGCACCUAUGAGAUAUGCCCUACGUUCCCCCUGACAAAUGAAGUUACAGCAAAAGCUAGGGAAGACAGCUGCUUCCAUUUCAUCCAGCCCAGCUGAGUCCCAUAGCUGCUUCUCCUCUGCCAGUCCCAAUGUCAUUACCACUGAGGCACUGGGAUUGAACUUGAGUUAUGAAGGCCACACAUGAAGACAGAAGUAAGGAGAUGACGAGGAGGAGACAAGAGGGUUGAAAUUGAACAGGGAAAAGAUUAAAAGUAA